RNAcentral lists this small RNA (290 nucleotides) under Pan troglodytes (chimpanzee). Its description in RNAcentral is "processed transcript". Lineage: Eukaryota; Metazoa; Chordata; Mammalia; Primates; Hominidae. The record is from RNAcentral.
AGAGAGAGAGCGGCCAGGGGGAGAUACGCAGGCAGAAGGGAGCAGAAGGCCAGGCCCUCUAAAUAAAUCCCUUCCUUCCUCUCUCCAGGUCCUGGAUCUGCGCCGCCUCUACUCCAACGACAUCCACGCCAUGGCCAACACGUAUGGCAUCGAGGCCGCGCUGCGGGUGAUCGAGAAGGAGAUCAAGGAUGUGUUUGCCGUGUAUGGCAUCGCGGUCGACCCUCGCCAUCUCUCCCUGGUUGCUGAUUAUAUGUGCUUCGAGGGUGUUUACAAGCCACUGAAUCGCUUUG